UUAAAUACUCUUCUAAUAUAAUGAAUCCAUGCAGGAUUAGAAGCAAAAGAAUAAGGCAAACACAUAACAGUAACCAUUUUAGCUAAUUCUUCACGAUCCUUAUUUGGAUCGUAAUAUAAUAUACCUCCGGUGACUGUGUUUAUUCCUGGUUGAACUAGAUUUGAACCAGUACUUCACUUAGCCUUAUUUUGUUCUCUUAGUUGAAUAAAAAAUUGCCAAACUAAUGAUGUUUCUGUACGUUUAGGAGGUUGUCUACUAAAAGUGGGUGUUUGUACGGGUGGGUGUGCCGGUUCAUCACUUAAG
RNAcentral lists this long non-coding RNA (303 nucleotides) under Nicotiana benthamiana. RNAcentral describes it as "long non-coding RNA (NBEN_LNC009388)". The record is from RNAcentral. Lineage: Eukaryota; Viridiplantae; Streptophyta; Magnoliopsida; Solanales; Solanaceae.